This 235-nucleotide ribosomal RNA is filed under the name uncultured bacterium. RNAcentral describes it as "partial 16S ribosomal RNA". It matches the Rfam family "Bacterial small subunit ribosomal RNA", at positions 118 to 347 of the family's 1533-position model. The record is from RNAcentral.
UGAGGAACAUGACCUUGGCGGGGGAGUAGCCGGCCCAACGGCCGGGUAAUACCGCGUACGUCGGCGGAAGCGCAUGCUCCUGCCGGGAAAGCAGCAAUGCACCGAUGGAGGAUCUCGCGGCCUAUCAGCUAGUUGGUGAGGUAACGGCUCACCAAGGCGACGACGGGUAGCUGGUCUGAGAGGAUGGCCAGCCACAUUGGGACUGAGACACCGGCCCAGACCUGUACCGGGGAGG